GCCUAGGGAUGUGCUCGCGUCUGAUUAGCUAGUUGGUGGGGUAAGGGCCUACCAAGGCGACGAUCAGUAGCUGGUCUGAGAGGAUGAUCAGCCACACUGGGACUGAGACACGGCCCAGACUCCUACGGGAGGCAGCAGUGGGGAAUUUUCCGCAAUGGGCGCAAGCCUGACGGAGCAACGCCGCGUGCGGGAGGACGGCUUGUGGACUGUAAACCGCUUUUAAUAGGGAAGAAUAUAUGACGGUACCUAUUGAAUAAGCAUGGGCUAACUCCGUGCCAGCAGCCGGGGUAAUACGGAGGAUGCAAGCGUUAUCCGGAAUUAUUGGGCGUAAAGGGUCCGCAGGGGGUUAAUAAAGUUUAUCGUAAAAUACUGGGGCUAAACUCGGGGGGGGCGGAUAAAACUGGUUAACUAGAUUACGGUAGGGGCAGAGGGAAUUCCUAGUGUACCGGUGAAAUGCUUAAAUAUUAAAAAAAACACCGGGGGCAAAGGCGCUUUGUUGGCCCUGUCCUGACCCUGAGGGACAAAAG
This 527-nucleotide ribosomal RNA is filed under the name uncultured cyanobacterium. Its description in RNAcentral is "bacterial SSU rRNA". It matches the Rfam family "Bacterial small subunit ribosomal RNA", at positions 217 to 759 of the family's 1533-position model. The record is from RNAcentral. Lineage: Bacteria; Bacillati; Cyanobacteriota.